GACGAACGCUGGCGGCGUGCUUAACACAUGCAAGUCGAACGGAAAGGCGCUGCUCUUGCUGGUCUCUCGAUAGGCGAGCAGGUGUGUAACACACGAGUAACCUCCCCCUGACUGUGUGAUAACUUCACGAGACUCGGGCUAAUACCCGGUAUGAUCUCCUGCUGCAUGUGGUGGGUUGGAAAGUUACGGCGUUUGUGUCUGGACUGGCUGCUUAUCCGCUUGUUGGGCGGGUAGUGGCUUACCAAGGCUUUGACGGGUAGCCGGCCUGGGAGGGUGACCGGCGACAAUGGGCCUGAGAUACGGCGCAGAAUCCUACGGGAGGCAGCGGUGGGGAAUCUUGCGGAAUGGGGGGAAGCGUGAUGCAGAAACGCCGGGUGCGGGAUGCUGGGCUUCGGGUUGUAAACAGAUUUCGACUGUGACGAAGCGUGAGUGACGGUAAUGGGUAAAAAAGCAACGGCUAACUACGUG
Molecule: ribosomal RNA, 468 nt
Filed under: uncultured bacterium
Lineage: Bacteria
Description: partial 16S ribosomal RNA
Rfam family: Bacterial small subunit ribosomal RNA
Source: RNAcentral